UACGUAGGGUGCAAGCGUUAAUCGGAAUUACUGGGCGUAAAGCGUGCGCAGGCGGUUUUGUAAGACAGAUGUGAAAUCCCUGGGCUCAACCUAGGAACUGCAUUUGUGACUGCAAAGCUAGAGUGUGACAGAGGGGGGUAGAAUUCCACGUGUAGCAGUGAAAUGCGUAGAGAUGUGGAGGAAUACCAAUGGCGAAGGCAACCCCCUGGGAUAACACUGACGCUCAUGUACGAAAGCGUGGGGAGCAGACAGG
This 253-nucleotide ribosomal RNA is filed under the name uncultured bacterium. RNAcentral's name for it is "partial 16S ribosomal RNA". It matches the Rfam family "Bacterial small subunit ribosomal RNA", at positions 524 to 776 of the family's 1533-position model. The record is from RNAcentral.